GACGAACGCUGGCGGCGUGCUUAACACAUGCAAGUCGAACGGAAAGGCCCUGCUUGUUUGGGGUGCUCGAGUGGCGAACGGGUGUGUAACACGUGAGUAACCUGCCCUUGACUUUGGGAUAGCUUCAGUUAAUUGGGGCUAAUAUCGGCUAGGAGCUUCUGCUGCAUGUUGUGGGUUUGCAAGUUUCGGCGGUUGGGGAUGGGCUCGCGGCGUGUCAGCUUGUUGGCUGGGUAGUGGCUUACUAAGGCUUCGGCGGGUAGCUGGCCUGAGAGCGGGACCGGCUACAUUGGGGCUGAGUGACGCCCCAGACUCCUAUGGUGGGCAGCAGGGCGGAAUAUUGCAGAAUGGACGAAAGCCUGAUACAGCAACGCCGCGUGCUGGAAAACGGCCUUCGGGGUUGAAACCGCUUUCGCAUAUGAAGAAGCGUGAGUGACAGUAAUGGAUAUAGCAGCACCGGCUAACUACGUG
RNAcentral lists this ribosomal RNA (468 nucleotides) under uncultured bacterium. RNAcentral's name for it is "partial 16S ribosomal RNA". It matches the Rfam family "Bacterial small subunit ribosomal RNA", at positions 28 to 507 of the family's 1533-position model. The record is from RNAcentral.